This 439-nucleotide ribosomal RNA is filed under the name uncultured bacterium. Its description in RNAcentral is "partial 16S ribosomal RNA". It matches the Rfam family "Bacterial small subunit ribosomal RNA", at positions 339 to 795 of the family's 1533-position model. The record is from RNAcentral.
CUACGGGCGGCACCAGUGGGGAAUAUUGGACAAUGGGCGAAAGCCUGAUCCAGCAAUGCCGCGUGAGUGAUGAAGGCCUUAGGGUUGUAAAGCUCUUUUACCAGGGAUGAUAAUGACAGUACCUGGAGAAUAAGCUCCGGCUAACUCCGUGCCAGCAGCCGCGGUAAUACGGAGGGAGCUAGCGUUGUUCGGAAUUACUGGGCGUAAAGCGUGCGUAGGCGGUUAUUUAAGUCAGGGGUGAAAUCCCGGAGCUCAACUCCGGAACUGCCCUUGAAACUAGAUGACUAGAAUCAUGGAGAGGUGAGUGGAAUUCCGAGUGUAGAGGUGAAAUUCGUAGAUAUUCGGAAGAACACCAGUGGCGAAGGCGACUCACUGGACAUGUAUUGACGCUGAGGUACGAAAGCGUGGGGAGCAAACAGGAUUAGAUACCCGAGUAGUC